GAACGCUGGCGGAAUGCUUUACACAUGCAAGUCGAACGGCAGCACGGACUUCGGUCUGGUGGCGAGUGGCGAACGGGUGAGUAACAUAUCGGAACGUAUCCAAUAAUGGGGGAUAACUAAUCGAAAGGUUGGCUAAUACCGCAUACGCCCUACGGGGGAAAGCUAGGGAUCUUCGGACCUGGCGUUAAUGGAGCGGCCGAUAUCUGAUUAGCUAGUUGGUGGGGUAAAGGCCCACCAAGGCGACGAUCAGUAGCUGGUCUGAGAGGACGACCAGCCACACUGGAACUGAGACACGGUCCAGACUCCUACGGGAGGCAGCAGUGGGGAAUUUUGGACAAUGGGCGCAAGCCUGAUCCAGCCAUUCCGCGUGAGUGAAGAAGGC
Molecule: ribosomal RNA, 382 nt
Filed under: uncultured bacterium
Lineage: Bacteria
Description: bacterial SSU rRNA
Rfam family: Bacterial small subunit ribosomal RNA
Source: RNAcentral